RNAcentral lists this ribosomal RNA (253 nucleotides) under uncultured bacterium. RNAcentral's name for it is "partial 16S ribosomal RNA". It matches the Rfam family "Bacterial small subunit ribosomal RNA", at positions 524 to 776 of the family's 1533-position model. The record is from RNAcentral.
UACGUAGGGUGCGAGCGUUGUCCGGAAUUAUUGGGCGUAAAGGGCUCGUAGGCGGUCUGUCGCGUCGAAAGUGAAAACCCAGGGCUUAACCCUGGGCCUGCCUCCGAUACGGGCAGACUAGAGGUAUGCAGGGGAGAACGGAAUUCCUGGUGUAGCGGUGAAAUGCGCAGAUAUCAGGAGGAACACCGGUGGCGAAGGCGGUUCUCUGGGCAUUACCUGACGCUGAGGAGCGAAAGUGUGGGGAGCGAACAGG